This 253-nucleotide ribosomal RNA is filed under the name uncultured bacterium. RNAcentral's name for it is "partial 16S ribosomal RNA". It matches the Rfam family "Bacterial small subunit ribosomal RNA", at positions 524 to 776 of the family's 1533-position model. The record is from RNAcentral.
UACGAGGGGGGCGAGCGCUGUUCGGAAUUAUUGGGCGUAAAGGGUGCGUAGGCGGUUUGGUAAGUCUUGUGUGAAAUCUUCGGGCUCAACUCGAAGUCUGCACGAGAAACUGCCGGGCUUGAGUAUGGGAGAGGUGAGUGGAAUUCCCGGUGUAGCGGUGAAAUGCGUAGAUAUCGAGAGGAACACCUGCGGCGAAGGCGGGUAGCUGGGCCGACACUGACGCUGAGGCGCGAAAGCCAGGGGAGCGAACGGG